RNAcentral lists this ribosomal RNA (253 nucleotides) under uncultured bacterium. RNAcentral's name for it is "partial 16S ribosomal RNA". It matches the Rfam family "Bacterial small subunit ribosomal RNA", at positions 524 to 776 of the family's 1533-position model. The record is from RNAcentral.
UAUGUAGGGUGCGAGCGUUGUCCGGAAUUAUUGGGCGUAAAGAGCUCGUAGGCGGUUUGUCGCGUCGGCCGUGAAAACUUGGGGCUUAACCCCAAGCCUGCGGUCGAUACGGGCAGACUUGAGUUCGGCAGGGGAGACUGGAAUUCCUGGUGUAGCGGUGAAAUGCGCAGAUAUCAGGAGGAACACCGGUGGCGAAGGCGGGUCUCUGGGCCGAUACUGACGCUGAGGAGCGAAAGCGUGGGGAGCGAACAGG